AUGUUCCUGGACGACGCCCCCCCUGCAGGUCAGACAGGGACACGACACGUGACAAUGAGCAGGUUUCAGCUGAGAUCAGUCGCCGCCGUCGUCAUGGUGAUAAUCACCUGGUUAAGACCUGGAUGAGCUGCUGAUGUAACGACGAGGAUCAGAGCGAGAACCUGGACGAUCCCAAAACAAUAAAUAAUCAAUAAAUUAUACACAGAAAGGAACCUGCUCACAAACUCAUCUGUCAAUUCUAAAUCAAUAUCAUCAAUAAAUAAAGAUCACAUUUACUCUGUAAAACAUUUACUCUGUAAAACAUUUACGCUGUAAAACAUUUACUCUGUAAAACAUUUACGCUUUCAUCUUGAUGUCGUCUCUUUAGGAUUACCUGGCUCACAUCAUCGACUGCUCUGAUUUGUCGAUUCGUCCUGAGCAGGUUUGCUCUCUGUUUGGAAACAUCGAGGACAUUUACGAGUUCAACAGUGAGCUGCUUCAGGCUCUCGACCUGUGUGACAACGACCCCGUCAGGGUCGCUCGCUGCUUCGUCAUGAAGAGCGAGUACUUUGAGAUCUACACUCAGUACUGCACCAACUACCCCAAGUGAGUUCUGA
This is a non-coding RNA of Paralichthys olivaceus (Japanese flounder), 596 nucleotides long. The record is from RefSeq and is a predicted model, not a curated record. Lineage: Eukaryota; Metazoa; Chordata; Actinopteri; Pleuronectiformes; Paralichthyidae.